This is a long non-coding RNA of Chinchilla lanigera (long-tailed chinchilla), 745 nucleotides long. RefSeq lists it as uncharacterized. The transcript is spliced from 6 exons. The record is from RefSeq and is a predicted model, not a curated record. Lineage: Eukaryota; Metazoa; Chordata; Mammalia; Rodentia; Chinchillidae.
GAAAGAAUAACUGUAAUUGCUGAAAAUACUGUGAAUGUAUAUGUAUGGGACUACUUUACCAAAAUGAAGAUAUAUAUCUAAAACUUGAUACACUUUACGAAGAAGCAGAGAUGACACCUAUAAUGCAUCCAUCUUUAUAUGCUCAAAAGUAUGUGACCAGAUCUAGGACUCCAUUAUGUAUUGAAUGUCCUGUAGAGCAAGGAAAAUCCACACCUGCCCUCAAGAGUUAUGGGUUUUCCAGCCAAUUCUUAAUUUUGUAGUCUGAGAUAACUCCUCAUCUGCAGUAUAUUCCAGCAUACAUGAGCCUAUAGCUCCUCAGAGUGGAAGCAGGAUUGCUGGCGCUUCUGCUUUGUAAAAUCAUCUCUGUUUUCACAAGAAAUGAAGGAGACAGUGUUGAAGGGUUGUUGCCAGUGGAUGGAGAAAUCCAUGGAUAUGAAAAUCAUAUAAUGAUUACCUCUACAACCUCAGUCUCUGAACACUUGGAACAGACUAUUUCACUCCUCUAAAUACCUGUGAAGAAACUUAAGUGAGAAAUGGAUUUAUUCUGUACAGAUCCAAAUCCGUUCACAGACUCCUGUCUUAGAAAAAUAAAGCCUGACUUGUUCUCCUGAUAAUAUUGUACUGCAACCAGCAUGUGAACUUCAAAGAUACGUGAAGAUACGUCAUUUAUGUUUCGUGAGAUUAAAAGGAAGAUCGUUUGGUAUGAGCAUAUCUUCGCAUACUGAUGCUAAAAUCUGUCAUUAGA